GUGUGUGUAUGUUUUUGUUUGGUGCUGAUCAGUGUGUGCUGUGUUGCAGGGUUCAGACCACCUCCUCAGCCCCUCACAUUUUCAUUAUGGUCCAAAUCUCAGGCCUGUACUUGAGCUUGGCCUCUGCCAGCCAAGCCGGAGGUUUAAUCACACAUUCAGCACUCCAUUUUCAUUUCCCUUUCAUUUUCCAGCCAUUCCACUCCCUACUCCCGCUUCAUAAUUCGGCCCUCAGAGCUGUCUGUGUAGCUGAGUGUUUGGGCCCUUUGAAAUGACAUAAUCAGUGACUUGGAUAAAUGCCUGACUGUUUUCCCUCUGCUGUCUGUAAUCAGCAGCCAACCAGCUCUCUGUAUUGGAGCGUUACUAAAGAAACUCUUCUUAAGGAAGUUGUUCACUAGCUUCUCCGAUGGCUGAGGAGUUAUGUCUACAUUGAUCAUUUGUAGGAUUUGACAUUUUAAAGCAGCAGUGCUGUUUAAGAGUCUGUUCUUACAGAGGCUGUCCGUCCGUCACUAAUGGCUGAGGACUCCGCAAUUACAAAUGCAGGCCAUUUUAUUUUGAGUUAAUAAAUGUGCCAUAUCAAUGAUACAAUAGCUCCGUCAAGUACAUGAUCACAAAAACACUACAAAAUAUCAGAUCAUUAUCAUGCUUAGAAUAAACAUUCAGAUAACUACAACAGAAAUUAAGAAACUCAGUAUGUCUCAAAAGGAAGAAAAUAACUAAUAAAUCACAUGUAAACACUACCUUGCAAGAGCAGCUUCUUAUUCACAUAAUAAUAAUAACAUGAAACUAACCUAGUUAACUUACAAGUGACAACCUACUGAAUGUAUGCUUUUAUUUCUGCUUUUAUAAAAUAUACCAUUACCUAUCGCAAUUCAGCACAGAUGUGUCUUUCCAAAUGUUUGGGAUGAAAGCAUGAAAAAACAACAUAUUUAUCCCAUUUCCACAUUGAUAUUUUUAAAAACUUAACACGAAUAUGAAUGAUCUUUGAUUAUAAUUAGAAAGUAGGGCAAUGUAAAAGCAUGCACCAGUUAUUUGUUGGAACACAAAACCAAGGAAAUGCUAAGCAGGUCCGGGAGGUUGGGGCACUGGCUGUAAAUGCUUUCAGCAACUAUUACUUCUGUGGGCGGACCACAUUCAAUCAAUAUCUAAGCAAAUAAAAGCUGUGGGCACUCACAGUGAGGGAAGCUUCAUGAGACGAGGCUGCAGUCACACACUAACGAACAACAUGCCCCCUAACACCACCACCACUAACACCUCGAAGUGGUCCACAGGAAAUACCCUACAGAAGCUAGUCAUCUGUCAACACCAUGAACACUAGAAAUAGAAGGAUUCUAGUUCUGUGGCAGAAGCGGUUUGUCCUAUAGAUAUUGUAUAUAUUUUGUUUUUGAGGUGACAGUAUGCUUUGCCAACAAAAUAUCUUCAUACUUCUUCUGCCGGAUAUGACGACGGAAUUAAUGAAUCCAAUCCAAUUCCCAUCUACUAAAAAAAGUAUUUUUCUAAAAUGUAUGGGGAGACAAUUUUGUAUUUAAUGUAUACUUAUUCUGGGGAAUUAGCAACAUCAAGAUACAAAGCUAGCAUUAAACCACCUCACUCAAUCCAUACCUUGAUUAAAUACAAAACAUAACUAAAACUGGUGCUGCCAACCUCAUUUUGGGUUCUGAAUUGCCACCUCAUUUUGGGUUCUGAAUUGCCACAUCUUGGCAGUAAGAUGACAAAGCCAAAUAAGAAGUGAAUGGUAGUGUGUGAAUGUGUAGUGUGUGUGUGUGUGUGUGUGUGUGUGUGUGUGUGUGUGUGUGCUCCUUCAACUCUGGCACCUCACAGUCCACACACACAUACACACACUGCAUUCCUGUUCUGCCUGUCCCAGCUCCAGCUCUAGCAGGAAGUGCUGUGCCCAGCCUCCCUCCCACCUCUCUUUGUGUUGAAUUAUGCGUAAUUGGAGUGGCGUACUUACACACAUCUUAAAGAACAAAACCCCUUUCUGUUUUAGGGGCUAGAGGUAGAGGGUGCAUAGCUAGGAGGUACGGGUGUUUUUGUGUUUUCAAGUAAAAGCGUGAAUGUCCAUAUUCGAGCCCAAAUGGCAGUUGAUUUGGAGUGGUGUGUGUGUGUGUUGAGGGUGGGGGGGGUCCAUAGGGGGGGGCUUGCGUGUAUGUCUGUAUGUCAUUUUAGUCUGGCGCUGCUGAAAACAUAUAGGCUACCCAGCUGUUCUGAAUAUGCAAAUGGCGCACCAGCACACACACCUACUGACCUAGACACACUAUUCUCUCCCUCUUACUGUCCCUAUCCCCCCACCCCCAACAUGGUAACCCCCAAAACCUCCUUAGACCCACCCCCUCCCGUCAGACCCCAUCCCCCAUAGCCUGCCAACUCUCUGCUACACAGGACAACGCCAUGGAUCUGGCUGCCAUUUUAUCCACAAAGGAGACAGGAUACAGUAGCCUAGCAUUUUAGCGUGCUAACAGGGUAGCGUGGGCAAAGCUAACCGCUAAGCACUCUCCUCCAUGACGUCCCCCUCCUCACAGAGUCUGCGCUGAUUAGAAAGGCAGCUUGAUUAAACUGACCUGAUAGAGAGGGAGAUAGGGGGACGAGACACCCUGCAUUGAAUAAGUAAACGCGCAUGUAGCCUAGCGAGGCGAGGCUAGCUCAAGUCACUCUCCCUCGAUGGGUACUAUGUCGCUCACUAACUGUAAUAUGACAACCAGGCGACAAACCACCAAAACACCUCUGAGUAAACAACAUAAUACAUUUUCAAGGUGCUACCACAAUGACAUGGCAAUAUUAAUGAACAUGAAUUUACAGGGAUUUCACUAAAUGAAUUGUAUCCUCCAUCUUGCUUGCCUUAGUUCUACAGUAUAGUACUGUACAGUAUCUAGUGUUAUUCUAUAGGAUCAACAAUGGAUGCUCUCUGCUCUCACUCUGGAUUGUCAAACAUAUUUCACACACACUGUCACACAUACACACACACACAGACAGACAGACAGACAGACAGACAGACAGACAGACAGACAGACAGACAGACAGACAGACAGAAACACAUCAAAGGGCUUCAGAGUGGAUGAUAUCCUAUUUCCGGGACACAGAUAAUUCAGAGGGCUCAGUGCAGUAAUUACCAUUGACAGGUGAAAAUGUCUGUGAAAACGCUGAGAUUGUAACAGUGUAACUGUCCAGUAUAAACACCAGGGUGACAGUACAUCCAUCCCCACUAACACCACUUUAAGACCAGAAAGCACAAAUAUAUUGCCUAAUCCACGUUUAGCGCGCCGCCCGCUGUUUCCCUCCUGAUACCCCUGAUCCCCAGUGCUUUGACAAGGCGUAAUAAAAUGAGUUUGAAGCAGCCGCAUUGUGUGGGGGAAUUGAGCACUGUGUGAAGGAUGUACACUGUUGGGUCCCACGACGCAGCAGCACACCAGGCCCUAUAGCGGGGAGUGCUGUGCAUGUUAAUGAUGUCAUUAUUUGGUGGUUGUCUGGAGUUUGACCGGUCAGGCAGGGGUGGGCCAGUGUGAGGAUUUAACAGUGUGUUAGGAGGCUACCUAACAGAUGUCACAUAUGGCCCAAUGAGACAGGCAGACAGACAGAGCAGACAGACAGAGCAGCCGCCCCAUAUUUCACUCAUAUCAAAAGAGGCAACAGUAAUGCUAUCAACGCCUCACAUAAAAACACGAUGGGAGGAAAUGAAAGAGAAAGAAAGAGAGGAGGCACAACAAUGAGAAACAUUAGUUCUGUAAUUCUCCUGAGUGCUUUCAUUCCCUCUGCAACAUGCAUAGUUUCUCCUAACACCCUUAGUGUUAGUUAUUUAGGAGAACAAGUCAGGGGGGUUAAGAAUCAAGCAUAUAUGCAAAUGCAAUUAGGGGCUAUUUGCAUAACCCCUUUGUGAUUAAGCAGAUGGUGGCCGUUAAAAGUUGUCCGCAGUCGCCAUCUUGGCAGAGCAAACAGCUGGCAGACGGGGAAGCCAUUUUGUAGGCACGCGUCAAGGCACUGCCAGGCUGACACAGUGUGGCGCCUGUCUCUCUGUGCCAGCAGAUUGGCGCGGGAAUCUUAAUAAUACUCGACUGUGAGCAACGCAACUACUGCACCAUUCAAUGACAUCAUUCUGGGCAUUAUGUUUGAUGAAGGCUUCCCUGUGGCUCAGUUGGUAGAGCAUGGUGUUUGCAAUGCCAGCAUGGUGUUUACAACGCCAGGGUUGUGGGUUCGAUUCCCACAGGGGGCCAGUACGAAAAAAUAAAUAAUAAUGUAUGGAAUGUAUGCAUUCACUACUGUAAGUCGCUCUGGAUAAGAGCGUCUGCUAAAAAAUGACAAAAAAAAAAAGGCAAGCAGCAAAAACAUAGGAGAAUAGUCUGUGUUGCGUUGCACUGUAUACUGUAUAUUAGUCAGUAGGGACUGUCUGUCUUUGUCUAAGAUGAUGAAUAUUCCUUUCACAUAGCAUUUUAAUGUAUACCCAGCUAUCGUCACAUGACAUGUCACAUCUGUGUAAAAGGCUCCAACAAUAGAACAGUAUAGCUGGAGGCCUACUUACCAAGUGAAGUCUGCCCCAUUGUGUUGUUUGUAGAUUUCUCUCUGUGCAGCUGUUCCUGUUUCAGGCACAAACUAGCUCUGACCCUUUUGUCUUCUCCAGCCCAGCAGAUAUGGACAAUCCUUUUCUUCCCCAAUGAAAAAAUACAAUUCUGCAUUUUGCAUCUCAGGCUUUCCAUUCAGCAAUGAUUGAGUUAUUUUCAUUCCAUUGGAUUUUUUGGUAGUUUUUUGAGUAUCUAAAGAUAGGGCUUCUUGUGUGGAUUCUUCAACUAUAAAAGGAAAAAUAGAACUGGUGGAGAGGGCCACUGUUCAGGCACUAUACAAUAUGUCCACAGUCUUUUUCAUCUUUCACUCAAUUAGGACUCCUUCACUCCUGAAUAUAGUUCAGUUGUAUAGUGAAGUUAUCAGUUACUACUACAGCAUGUAACCACCACAGACAAUGAAAGGUACCGUACUAAGACCAGCUCCAUUUAGAUCAAUAACCUCUGCCAUAUCCUCUGAUAGUAACCUGAGUCAUGAGGAAGAAAAUGGGAGGCAGAAAAUACAACAUUUAAUCUGAAUCUGUAGUUCAAAUUGGCCUUUUAUCCUGGUUCAUCAGAUGUGGAGAGCAUGGUGGCUGUACACUACAUGACUGGAGGGGGAUUGACGAGAGACGCCUGUUCAAUUCAAUGGAAGAGGCCUUUUCACUGAACUCUCAUUCAAACAGUCAGGUGAAACGAGUAAUCAGAGGGAAAAAUAGGAGAAAAAGACCUUUGACGUCCAUUUUUUAUUCUCUCUCUCCUUCGCUCUCUCGCUCACAGGCAAAGUUAUAUCAAGUGGUCUUGAGCCAGGAAAGCCCCUCCGGCGGAACCACACACACAGACGUGCUCAAACACACACACACACACACACACACACACACACACACACACACACACACACACACACACACACACACACACACACACACACACACACACACACACACACACACACACACACACACACACACACACACACACACACACACACACACACACACACUCAAAUAGACACACACAUACACCCACAUAUACACAUACUCACUCAAAUACACACACACACACAGUGCGGGUUGGCUGGGACUGGGAGAGGAAAGAGAGGGCUGGCAGCGCUGGGUCCCUGGGCUCUAGGGCCAGGGGCAGUGCUGGGCAACCCCUGCUAGCCUCUCUCCUCCAUAUUGAUUUGCUACUCCGCACUGCCGAGGAGCAACUUGCCAGCGGGGAUGAGAGCCUGCCUUGCCUCCCCUCGCCUCGACUCGCCUGCCCACUCCGCCGUUGCCUGGCUGGCCCCAGCCGGCUCCCUGAGACCCCUGCACGGAGCAGAGAAGAGCCAGAGAGCCUAUGGCCAUCCACUACUGGGUUCACCUGCUCCCUGGUUCACCACUCACUGCUCCAUUCUUUCCUCUCCUUCCACCCACUCCCACUCUCCUUCUCUUCCGACUCUUCUUUCUCUCUGUUUCUCCUCCUCCUGCACACAAACAACAAGAGACAAGGAGAAAAACAACAAGUUGAGCUUAAGUUGCUCACUCCAGAUGUCAAUCCUGUGCUUUGAUCAGGGAGAUGUGGGGGGUGAAUAUUUUGGCAUCAUCUCAAUUUGUGAGAUGAACUUCAACCCCCCACCACCACCCCACCCCGCGUGAGGAAAAGCUGAAAUGGGAGAAUGUUGAGUUAAGUGUGUCGGCAGGAAGAAACUGGCAACUGUAAUCUGAGCUAUUAGUCUGAUGCUUUCCCUCUAGCCAGUCACAGCAUCUGGUCCUAUUAUAAAAAUCAGCAAAGCGCUGGUGGAGUUCAUAAACAUAAUCCUGUUUACCAAUAACCUGCUAUAUCCCCAACCCCAAAGGUCCACCAAGUUUGGGAUAUUUUGCAAUUACCAGUAUAUAGGUAAACCCCCCCUAAAAUAACAAAAACUGUGCAAUAGAGACAGUCAAACUCUUGCUUCACUGCCUUAGCUGUGCCGGCGCCGACAGAGAUGGCCGCCUC
Molecule: transfer RNA, 6506 nt
Filed under: Salmo salar (Atlantic salmon)
Lineage: Eukaryota; Metazoa; Chordata; Actinopteri; Salmoniformes; Salmonidae
Description: lncRNA (ENSSSAG00000107772.1)
Rfam family: UnaL2 LINE 3' element (bases 4240-4296)
Source: RNAcentral